GGACCCGCACAAGUAGUGGAGCAUGUGGUUUAAUUCGAAGAUACGCGCAGAACCUUACCAACACUUGACAUGUUCGUCGCGACUCUAAGAGAUUAGAGUUUUCGGUUCGGCCGGACGAAACACAGGUGCUGCAUGGCUGUCGUCAGCUCGUGUCGUGAGAUGUUGGGUUAAGUCCCGCAACGAGCGCAACCCUCACUUUUAGUUGCCAUCAUUAAGUUGGGCACUCUGAAAGAACUGCCAGUGAUAAGCUGGAGGAAGGUGGGGAUGACGUCAAGUCCUCAUGGCCCUUACGUGUUGGGGCUACACACGUGCUACAAUGGUAUCUACAACAGGAAGCAAAACAGCGAUGUUAAGCAAAUCCUUAAAAGAUAACCUCAGUUCGGAUUGCACUCUGCAACUCGAGUGCAUGAAGCUGGAAUUACUAGUAA
RNAcentral lists this ribosomal RNA (428 nucleotides) under uncultured bacterium. RNAcentral describes it as "bacterial SSU rRNA". It matches the Rfam family "Bacterial small subunit ribosomal RNA", at positions 917 to 1341 of the family's 1533-position model. The record is from RNAcentral.